RNAcentral lists this ribosomal RNA (506 nucleotides) under uncultured bacterium. Its description in RNAcentral is "bacterial SSU rRNA". It matches the Rfam family "Bacterial small subunit ribosomal RNA", at positions 8 to 526 of the family's 1533-position model. The record is from RNAcentral.
AGAGUUUGAUCAUGGCUCAGAAUCAACGCUGGCGGCGUGCCUCAGACAUGCAAGUCGAACGAUUAAGACUUCCUUCGGGAAGUGUAUAAAGUGGCGCACGGGUGAGUAACACGUAAGUAAUCUACCCUCGAGUGGGGAAUAACGUUCGGAAACGGACGCUAAUACCGCAUAACGCAGCGGCACCGCAAGGUGACAGUUGUUAAAGGAGUAAUUCGCUUGAGGAGGAGCUUGCGGCAGAUUAGCUAGUUGGUAAGGUAACGGCUUACCAAGGCUACGAUCUGUAUCCGGCCUGAGAGGGCGGUCGGACACACUGACACUGAAUAACGGGUCAGACUCCUACGGGAGGCAGCAGUCGGGAAUUUUGGGCAAUGGGCGAAAGCCUGACCCAGCAACGCCGCGUGAAGGAUGGAGUAUUUCGGUAUGUAAACUUCGAAAGAAUGGGAAGAAUAAAUGACGGUACCAUUUAUAAGCUCCGGCUAACUACGUGCCAGCAGCCGCGGUAAUAC